UCUCACAUCACAGGGGAAGCCAAUGCUUCUU
This 31-nucleotide non-coding RNA is filed under the name Mus musculus (house mouse). Lineage: Eukaryota; Metazoa; Chordata; Mammalia; Rodentia; Muridae. The record is from RNAcentral.